Molecule: ribosomal RNA, 1550 nt
Filed under: Klebsiella pneumoniae
Lineage: Bacteria; Pseudomonadati; Pseudomonadota; Gammaproteobacteria; Enterobacterales; Enterobacteriaceae
Description: bacterial SSU rRNA
Rfam family: Bacterial small subunit ribosomal RNA
Source: RNAcentral
AAAUUGAAGAGUUUGAUCAUGGCUCAGAUUGAACGCUGGCGGCAGGCCUAACACAUGCAAGUCGAGCGGUAGCACAGAGAGCUUGCUCUCGGGUGACGAGCGGCGGACGGGUGAGUAAUGUCUGGGAAACUGCCUGAUGGAGGGGGAUAACUACUGGAAACGGUAGCUAAUACCGCAUAAUGUCGCAAGACCAAAGUGGGGGACCUUCGGGCCUCAUGCCAUCAGAUGUGCCCAGAUGGGAUUAGCUUGUAGGUGGGGUAACGGCUCACCUAGGCGACGAUCCCUAGCUGGUCUGAGAGGAUGACCAGCCACACUGGAACUGAGACACGGUCCAGACUCCUACGGGAGGCAGCAGUGGGGAAUAUUGCACAAUGGGCGCAAGCCUGAUGCAGCCAUGCCGCGUGUGUGAAGAAGGCCUUCGGGUUGUAAAGCACUUUCAGCGGGGAGGAAGGCGGUGAGGUUAAUAACCUCAUCGAUUGACGUUACCCGCAGAAGAAGCACCGGCUAACUCCGUGCCAGCAGCCGCGGUAAUACGGAGGGUGCAAGCGUUAAUCGGAAUUACUGGGCGUAAAGCGCACGCAGGCGGUCUGUCAAGUCGGAUGUGAAAUCCCCGGGCUCAACCUGGGAACUGCAUUCGAAACUGGCAGGCUAGAGUCUUGUAGAGGGGGGUAGAAUUCCAGGUGUAGCGGUGAAAUGCGUAGAGAUCUGGAGGAAUACCGGUGGCGAAGGCGGCCCCCUGGACAAAGACUGACGCUCAGGUGCGAAAGCGUGGGGAGCAAACAGGAUUAGAUACCCUGGUAGUCCACGCCGUAAACGAUGUCGAUUUGGAGGUUGUGCCCUUGAGGCGUGGCUUCCGGAGCUAACGCGUUAAAUCGACCGCCUGGGGAGUACGGCCGCAAGGUUAAAACUCAAAUGAAUUGACGGGGGCCCGCACAAGCGGUGGAGCAUGUGGUUUAAUUCGAUGCAACGCGAAGAACCUUACCUGGUCUUGACAUCCACAGAACUUAGCAGAGAUGCUUUGGUGCCUUCGGGAACUGUGAGACAGGUGCUGCAUGGCUGUCGUCAGCUCGUGUUGUGAAAUGUUGGGUUAAGUCCCGCAACGAGCGCAACCCUUAUCCUUUGUUGCCAGCGGUCCGGCCGGGAACUCAAAGGAGACUGCCAGUGAUAAACUGGAGGAAGGUGGGGAUGACGUCAAGUCAUCAUGGCCCUUACGACCAGGGCUACACACGUGCUACAAUGGCAUAUACAAAGAGAAGCGACCUCGCGAGAGCAAGCGGACCUCAUAAAGUAUGUCGUAGUCCGGAUUGGAGUCUGCAACUCGACUCCAUGAAGUCGGAAUCGCUAGUAAUCGUAGAUCAGAAUGCUACGGUGAAUACGUUCCCGGGCCUUGUACACACCGCCCGUCACACCAUGGGAGUGGGUUGCAAAAGAAGUAGGUAGCUUAACCUUCGGGAGGGCGCUUACCACUUUGUGAUUCAUGACUGGGGUGAAGUCGUAACAAGGUAACCGUAGGGGAACCUGCGGUUGGAUCACCUCCUUACCUUAAAGAA